Molecule: ribosomal RNA, 361 nt
Filed under: uncultured fungus
Lineage: Eukaryota; Fungi
Description: eukaryotic LSU rRNA
Rfam family: Eukaryotic large subunit ribosomal RNA
Source: RNAcentral
AUAUCAAUAAGCGGAGGAAAAGAAACCAACCGGGAUUGCCUCAGUAACGGCGAGUGGAGCGGCAAGAGCUCAAAUUUGAAAUCUGGCCCCUUUGGGGUCCGAGUUGUAAUUUGGAGAGGAUGCUUCGGGUGUGGUCCCUAUCUAAGUGCCCUGGAACGGGCCGUCAUAGAGGGUGAGAAUCCCGUCUGGGAUAGGCGGCCGCGCCCGUGUGAAGCUCCUUCGACGAGUCGAGUUGUUUGGGAAUGCAGCUCUAAGCGGGUGGUAAAUUUCAUCUAAAGCUAAAUACUGGCCGGAGACCGAUAGCGCACAAGUAGAGUGAUCGAAAGAUGAAAAGCACUUUGAAAAGAGAGUUAAACAGUAC